Ricinus communis (castor bean) is the source of this 1850-nucleotide RNA transcript. It is a transcript of the gene named OVARIAN TUMOR DOMAIN-containing deubiquitinating enzyme 1, with no coding region annotated. The transcript is spliced from 11 exons. The record is from RefSeq and is a predicted model, not a curated record. NCBI's taxonomy places the organism in Eukaryota, Viridiplantae, Streptophyta, Magnoliopsida, Malpighiales, Euphorbiaceae.
AAAAAAAAAAAAAAGGACAUCCUCUAAAAUUGGAUAAUUUGCACUGUUUGUCCCCAAGCAAAGUGGCAAACCUUUAGAAAAAGAAAAAAGAAAAAAGAAAAAAGAAAUUAGCAAGUCAAUCGUCACUGAAAAGUUAAUAAAAACCCCAAGGAAAGAAGGCAAAUAGCGCUGUGUCAAAUCAAACCAAAUCUAAUCUGAUUAAAAGAAAAGAAAAAGAAAACCAGAAGCGGUUUCUUUGUCCAUUGAGCUUGUAGAUCAGAAGCAAUCAGUUUUCGGUCUUUGAUCUUCAGAAGCAGAGAGAAGAGAUGCAAAAUCAAGAGGAAGAAAUAGCGGAGGAAGCGAAAAUGGAGGCAAAGUCUGAAAAAGGAGCAGCAGAAGAUUGGACAAAUUUUGGAGACGAAGAUAUAAUGCAACAUCACUCUUCUAUUCGCUCCGAACAAUCCGAUAAAGUUCCAUUUCUCGGUGACAAGGAACCUCUUUCUGCAUUAGCUGCUGAAUAUCAAUCAGGGAGCCCUAUAUUGCUUGAGAAGAUUAAGGUUCUUGGCGAGCAAUAUGAUGCCAUUAGGCGAACACGGGGAGAUGGCAACUGCUUCUUCCGAAGCUUCAUGUUUUCUUACCUUGAGCAUAUUUUAGAAUCACAAGACAAGUCUGAAGUUGAUCGAAUCAAAGUUAAUGUGGAGGAAUGUAGAAAAACUCUUCAGAGUUUGGGUUAUGUUGACUUCACCUUUGAGGAUUUUUUUGCGUUAUUCCUGGAGCAGUUGGACAGUGUUCUUCAAGGAAAUGAAACUUCAAUAAGUCAUGAUGAGCUCAUAAAUAGGAGUCGAGAUCAAUCCAUAUCAGACUAUGUUGUCAUGUUUUUCAGAUUUGUCACUUCUGGCGAAAUACGGAAACGCUCUGAGUUUUUUGAACCCUUCAUACUAGGAUUAACAAAUGCAACAGUAGAACAGUUUUGCAAGUCAGCUGUGGAACCUAUGGGUGAAGAGAGCGACCAUGUGCACAUUACUGCCCUAUCAGAUGCAUUGGGUGUGGCAAUCCGCGUUGUAUACCUCGACCGCAGUUCUUGUGAUACAGGCGGUGUUAGUGUAAAUCAUCAUGAUUUCAUUCCUCCUGCUGGUGAUCUCCCAAACUCGAACAGUGAUGGUUCUCUGUCCAAGAACCCCUUCAUUACCUUGCUUUAUCGUCCAGGGCAUUAUGAUAUUCUCUACCCAAAGUGAUGCUCUUGCCCACCCUGUUUCAGCAGCUUAGGCUAAGCACUCUGCUGCUGCUGCUUUUGGAUGGUCCAAAUUGGCCGUAUGCUGCUAAUGGUUGUCAAUGGAUUUCUGGUAAAUGGUGGGGCUGUGCAAGCAGAAAAGACCCGUGGCAGGAAACUUAGUGUUGUAAGGCGAGGGCCUAAGCUCAUUUGCUUUAUGCUGUAGCUUUUUCAAAAUGUUCAAAUGCUUCUGAUUUGUGUGAGUGAGGAUAUAAAUGCAAGGUUGCUUGAAGACAAAGAACAGUCAUCACAUCUAUUGGCGGGUCCUCAUCUGGAGGGGGAAAUAUUUGUUGAUUCUGAUCUUUUCUUUUGAUAUGUUCUGUAACUCUCACUGUUGCUGUGAUACUUAUACCCCACAUAUUAAGGUGCCAAGAAUAUGUCAUUUUACAGCCAUUAGAUUUGGAUUUAAAUGUUAACAACUCACAGGAGCUGCUGUAGUAGCUGAUUACAAUCACGUUGCUCUCUGGUUGCUUUUUCAGUUGUAGGCAAAAUUAUACCAGCUAUGUCAUUGGUUCCAAACUUCAUAACGAAGUUGUUAGCGAAUUAGAGGGAAAUUUGUGCGACUAUUUAGAUUUGAUUUCCAGCGAUAUUCUUGGUUGUG